RNAcentral lists this ribosomal RNA (427 nucleotides) under uncultured bacterium. Its description in RNAcentral is "bacterial SSU rRNA". It matches the Rfam family "Bacterial small subunit ribosomal RNA", at positions 355 to 774 of the family's 1533-position model. The record is from RNAcentral.
UGGGGAAUUUUGGACAAUGGGCGCAAGCCUGAUCCAGCCAUGCCGCGUGCAGGAUGAAGGCCUUCGGGUUGUAAACUGCUUUUGUACGGAACGAAAAGGUGCCUUCUAAUAAAGGGCGCUCAUGACGGUACCGUAAGAAUAAGCACCGGCUAACUACGUGCCAGCAGCCGCGGUAAUACGUAGGGUGCGAGCGUUAAUCGGAAUUACUGGGCGUAAAGCGUGCGCAGGCGGUUUUGUAAGACAGAGGUGAAAUCCCCGGGCUCAACCUGGGAACUGCCUUCGUGACUGCAAGGCUGGAGUGCGGCAGAGGGGGAUGGAAUUCCGCGUGUAGCAGUGAAAUGCGUAGAUAUGCGGAGGAACACCGAUGGCGAAGGCAAUCCCCUGGGCCUGCACUGACGCUCAUGCACGAAAGCGUGGGGAGCAAACA